Molecule: ribosomal RNA, 773 nt
Filed under: uncultured bacterium
Lineage: Bacteria
Description: bacterial SSU rRNA
Rfam family: Bacterial small subunit ribosomal RNA
Source: RNAcentral
AGAGUUUGAUCCUGGCUCAGGACGAACGCUGGCGGCGUGCUUAACACAUGCAAGUCGAGCGGUAAGGCCUCUUCGGAGGUACACGAGCGGCGAACGGGUGAGUAACACGUGAGCAACCUACCUCCAACUUCGGGAUAAGCCUCGGAAACGGGGUCUAAUACCGGAUAUCACCUCCGUUCUCAUGGGUGGGGGUUGAAAGUUCUGGCGGUUGGGGAUGGGCUCGCGGCCUAUCAGCUUGUUGGUGGGGUAAUGGCCUACCAAGGCGUCGACGGGUAGCCGGCCUGAGAGGGCGACCGGCCACACUGGGACUGAGACACGGCCCAGACUCCUACGGGAGGCAGCAGUGGGGAAUAUUGCGCAAUGGGCGAAAGCCUGACGCAGCAACGCCGCGUGAGGGAUGACGGCCUUCGGGUUGUAAACCUCUUUCAGCAGGGACGAAGCGAGAGUGACGGUACCUGCAGAAGAAGGACCGGCCAACUACGUGCCAGCAGCCGCGGUAAUACGUAGGGUCCGAGCGUUGUCCGGAAUUAUUGGGCGUAAAGGGCUCGUAGGCGGUUCGUCACGUCGGGAGUGAAAACUCGGAGCUCAACUCCGAGCCUGCUUCCGAUACGGGCAGACUAGAGGUAGGCAGGGGAGAGCGGAACUCCUGGUGUAGCGGUGGAAUGCGCAGAUAUCAGGAAGAACACCGGUGGCGAAGGCGGCUCUCUGGGCCUUACCUGACGCUGAGGAGCGAAAGCGUGGGUAGCGAACAGGAUUAGAUACCCUAGUAGUCC